AAUACCUUAUUACAAUGUGAGCUGAAUAUUUUAUCUUGUAUAAUUUAUUAUUUGCUUUUGAAUAUAAUUAAAUACCAUUUUCAUGUUUAGUGCCAAUUGUGUAAAAAAAAGUUUCUUCGGUUUUCUUUGAAGUUUGGGAUUUUGCCGACAAGAUAUUACCUAAACUGUCAAGGUGUCUUCUAACCAUCUACAAUGGUUCUGACAGAUCUUCCAUUUCAAAAGAGCUCGGUGAUUCACAGUCGAUACAGUCUGAUUCGACGCCCGGAUAGCGCACCACCCGGUCAAGCUGAUGUGAACAUGGAUGAUGCUGCUAGAGAGUGUAAACAAUAUGCAGCCUUUUUAAAAGAGCAGGAAAGAAGAGUGGGGCCUGACGGUUACGUUGACUCAAAGAAAUUCAGUCAUACAUUUAAUGUUCGGAAGUCACGCUCAAAACCAAGACGCCUUAGCAAUAAUGGAUCUUUGACCAAUGUUGUUCAGUUGUCGAGUAAAGUUGAAAAGGACAAGGGUGAAUAUGAGAAAAGGAUUAAAGUUAUUGAGGAUCACAUGUGGCAGCACAAGCAGGAAGAACGGGAACUGAAGAGAGUGGAAGGCGACAUCAUCAAGAAUCAGAGGGCUGUCCGCCACACUCUCAGAGAUUACGAAAAUGCAAUUACCAAAAAGAAGUUAGCAGAAGACAAAAAGUUUAACCAUUCUAUGGACAAAUUUACAAAGCUCUCUCAAGAACAUAUUCACAAGAAAGAAGAUCUUACAAAACAAAGAAUUGAAGUUAAGCUGCUUAAAGAACAAGAAGAAAAGUCCUCCAGUAGAAAGGUUUUAGUGCGCAGAAAUGACCUGUGUCACCAGUUUGAGACGAAAGCCGAGGCAAUAGAACUGAAACAGCUUGAAGUGAUGCGACUCAGUCAGGAAUUUGAAAACCAGAUGAGAUUAAAAGAGGAAGAAAAGUUUCAACUGAUGAAGGAGCUCGGAGAUCUAGCAAUAGCACUGAACAUGGAAGCUCAGAAAGGCAGAGUACAAUCAGUUGAAAUAGAGAAAGAGAAAUCGAAGGAAAACACUCAGCGAAUCAAGGAAGAUUUAACACAUGAUAAAUUAUUGAAUGAAAAACUGGCUCGAAGUGACGUUGAAUCCAAGACAGCUUUGCAGAACAAGAGACGAUUAAGUGUUGACCUGUCGGUGACCAAAUCUCACUUAGAUAUCAAGAAACGCGAUGAACAGCGUCAUUUAACUGAUACUCAGAUUCGACUGGAAGACAACACGACAACACAGAGGAGUUUGAACAAUGCUGCGUUGUGUGCUGGGAUGGAUUUGAAGGCAAAACGGAUCGACCAAAGACUCGAGGCACACAAUGCACGGCGGGUGAAUCAGCUGCACAACCACAUGAAGCUGAAGAAAGACCGGGAGCAAUCCCAGCAGGCCGUGUGGGAGGAACGCUUCAAGAAACGCUACCAGGAGCAGCAGAUACGUGAACAUGAAGACUCCAUCAAGUUCUUCUCAAAAAUGGUCAACAAGGGCGAUGAUCUGGAACAGAGUCUGUACAACAAGGUGCGCAAUGCUGAGUACGCGCGACAGCAACAGGAGCAGUCCGUGCGGCGCAUGCAGCAGACGCUGGCAGAGAUCAAGAGAAUCAACAACCUGAAACUCACCCAAGAAAUAGUCGACAGACAGAGACAAGAAAAAGAGCUGGAGCAGCGACUGCUUAAAGAAAAAGCCGAACUUGAUAAGGUCCAUGCCCAGCGUGAGGAGAGCUACAUUCGACUCCAGAACCACCGGCGCCAACUCCAGGAAGAUCAGUACCUGUUGGAAGAACAUCAACGUGAACAUGAACGUCUGCAUCGCAUCGGCGUCAAGUCAGAUACCAGCACUGCGGAAAUCACCUACUGAAACAUCGGCAGGCUUUUUCUGUCUGGUCCACUGAACUGAUUCUUUUGUACAGAGGUGGAAGCAGGAUUUGUCUUAGGAGGAAGUUUAACUUUUUUUUAAAGGGCACACAGGUUAUUCCAAAUUACUCAAACUUAUUAUAUACUAUAUUGUGUAGGUCAUAUUCUCCUGAAAUAUAUUGAUCAAUAUCUAUGGUUUAAAGUGUCGUUCACAAAAUCAGCUGAUGUGAAGUGAAGUUGAAGAUGGUGUAUCUGUUACAGAUAACAUUCACCAGAAAGCUAAUUCAACAAGUAAUAUUUUAAUAGAUCUUUUCUUAUGAGGGCUUUUCUAGAAUUGAUCACAAGGGGAAUUUGGGGAGAGUAAUGUUUUAAUAUACACACCACCUACAAAAUAAUUUUUUUAAUUAACCCUGGCCUAGUGGACACUCAUAACCAAUAAAAUAAAAGUCAUAAUUUCUCACUAAUAAAUUGUCAUGUAACAUACACUAUUAUUGUAUAGUUUGGCAAACUAAUGACCUUGUUGGUACUAAAUAUGAAACACAAAUGACUUUUCAUUUAUGCCUCUGUUUUCAUUGUUAAAUUAUGUAAUAAAUUGUGUAAUAAAAUGUUAUAAUACAAUUCAUUACAGAUUUUUAAACAAUAAAUAGAAAUUUGGUUUUUGAUAAUUAUUUUUGAACCUGAUUAAAAUGCAAAAUUAUACCAAUUAUUGUGUGUAAAGUGGUUUACAUGAUUUCUAAGUGCAUGUAUGGAUAAUAAAAAAUAAAUUUAAAUGCUUUUGGAGAACAAAAAGAGUUGAGGUAAUAAAUAGAAUAACAAACUCACUAACAAGUAUCAAAUUUAUGUGUCAUGAAAUAAUUUUAAUUUGUCACUCACUAAAUUUUGUAACAGGUGGAAAAUAUUUCACUCAGGACAUAAAUAUGAUAAUAAUUGGAAACUCAUAUAUUAUCCUCUAUAUGUAAACCAUAUAUACAAUGGGCAAGAUACAUGGCAAACCCACAAGUCAUAUACAAUAAUUAUAGUGCCUCUAACGCCUGUCCCCUCCUAUCCAUGUGAUCAUGUUUGGACAGCCCUUAAAUUGAGUUUUUAAGACAAGUGAAUUUAGUUUCACUUUUUUCAUACAAGCUUCGCCAGAUUGUGACAGAAUGAUUUUUUUAGUUUAAAGCCUAAACCUGUCUGUAAGUGGAAGUACAUUCAUUUAAUACUUCGGUUAACAGUUUUCAGUUGUUGGAUAAGGUGCUUCUAUUGUAUAAAGUGAAUAGAACAUUGAUCUCUGGAUAACUCGUGAAGUAAAAUAAUGUUAAAUAUUCAAGCUUAUUAUAACAAGAAAAUAAUCUGAUAACUGAAUAUUUUAUUUUAUAAUUAAUGAUAAUGAUGGUUUCCAGUUGAUUUAUUUUCUAAAAGAAAAGAUUUAUAUAUAAUUGUUAAUUACAUUUUUAAAAAUUUCUUAUGCACUCAAUUUUUUAAAAGUUCAAAAUGUUCAAGAUGCACAUGAUAGAUACUCUUUUAUAAAAGUAUUUUUGUACAUUAAUCUUAUGCAUCUAAAACAACAAUGAUUUUAUAUUUUUUAUUGUUGCUACGAGCAACACCAGAAGGCUGUGAAUAAUAAUUUUGUGAUAUAUGCAUGAUAAUGCAUCAAAAUCUUUAUUCAAGAAAUAUUUAAUAUUUAUUAGUUGUUUUAAGAAGGCCAAAAGAAUAAAUGUUAUCUCAGAUUGUUGUGUGAAAUAAAAAUAUUUUCUGAUUAAUUCAGAUAUAUAAGUGCUACAGUUUAUAUACACACUGAAAGCAAGAUCUUUUAUAAACAUUAUUGACUAUUAGCAUUUGCAUUUAACAUGUUUGGGAAAUGGCACAAUGUUUUCAAUGGUAUAAUGAGACCUACUAACUCAGUAUCAUCCGCUUACUGCCAAACAGUUAAACAUGUUGUGAGGAUCAUCUUAACAAUUUGAUUGUUUUUUUCAGACUACAAAUGUUUUUAUUAGUAUAGUAUGAAAUGUGUUUCCCACUUGCCUAAACUCAACAUUUCCCUACCUUGCCCUAAAAUUGAACUGUUUAUGUAGUUGAUUAUUAUUUAAAUACUAUAUGUAUUUAUGUUUUUGGAAAUGAUGGAAUAUUUUCAGUAGAUUUGGAUUGUUUCUGAAUUCUUAAAAGUUAUAUCACAUUCAAAUUAGCACGUGAGAUUGUUUUACAAGUUUCUGUUAUCCAUGACUGGUGUUUUCAAAAUUUCAGUAUUAAUGAGGUUAAAUGUUCACAUAAUUUUUUUCAUUUUACACUAAUAUCAUUUAUACAUCAAUAUGUGUUUAUAUAUUAAUCUGUUCAUACGUUAUCAUGUGUAAAUAUCAUAUUUUCAUCUAUAAGAUUAUGUGGUAACAUGUUUUUCAAACAUCCUAGUUUGGUUUGAAAUCAAUUAAUCAGCCUCAACUUAUUUACCUUUGUGUCAGUCAGUAUCCUGUCUACUCCAGCAUAUCAUGUCUAAUAACAUGUUUGUACAUUGUCAGUAUGCAUCUAGUUUGUCAUCUCAGGCCAGGCUGACUACAGUAAGGAUUUGUAGAUUUGGUUAUAAAUAACACAUCAGUGUACAUCUAGUAUUCUGUCCUAGACAGGAAAUCUGGCACAAACCAGAACUUGUGUCCAGGAUGGACGUGCCUGAACCUUCAGUGGAUAUGGGCACGUUAAUAGAGUUUUCCUUCCUUUUCCUCCUUACAUCUAGUUUGUCAUCUCAGGCCAGGCUGACUACAGUAAGGAUUUGUAGAUUUGGUUAUAAAUAACAUGUUACAUCUAGUAUUACAAACCAGAACUUGUGUCCAGGAUGGACGUGCCUGAACCUUCAGUGGAUAUGGGCACGUUAAUAGAGUUUUCCUUCCUUUUCCUCCUUACAUCUGGUUUGUCAUUUCGUGUUGUCCACAGUGAGGUAAAUUCUGCUUCUGUUGCCUUGAAUGGGCUCAUGUACAAGUUCAUCCAUUGAAGCAGAAUAUGCUCAUUUUUCGAAAACAGCUGGCAUCAAACCUGUAUUGUCUGUGAUUUAUAAGUACAUACUGGACUGGAAUGGUUUUGUCUGAAUUCAGUAAAGAAUAUUUUGCAAUAACAAGGUUCCUGAAUAACAGGGUUCAGUGGUAUUACAUGUACUAAAAAUGUGGUUCUUUCAAAUUCAAAAAUAGUUAUCAUGGUCAAUAUAGGAAGAUAAGUUUUUGAUUUGGGACUGUUGAAUAGAAUUGUAUGAAAAAAAUAUUAAAAAAUGUUAUUAUUUUACAUGAGAAAUCAAAAUCAAAUGUGACUGCUGUUGCUCUGUCAGGAACCAGGGUACAUAGCUACCGUAAAUAGAUUUUUGUAAAUUAUUAUGUCUCAUGCUGAAUCCUAAGUCAUUCAGUUGCAUUCCACAUUUUGUAACAACUGCUUUGUCUUGGGUAGUAAAUCUAAACGACAAUCAUAUCUGUACACAAGACAAGAGUCAAAAUGACGUUUACAUGAUCGUUACUGCUUCCAUGAACCACUCAAACAUUUUGCCUAUAGGAGGACUGCCACUCCUACAUACCUUUUAGGACCAACUCCUAUAGGACUGGUACUCCUGCAUACUUUGUGGGACUGUCACUCCUACUUUUCUUAUAGGAAUACUGCCACUCCUAUGUAGCUACCUUUCUCAGAGGACUGUCACUCUCGCUUAGCUACCUAGUAGGACUGCCAAUCUCCUACCUAUCUAGUAGGAGGACUGUCAGUCCUUAGGCUUGUUUGACAAAUUUCAACCUGCAAUAGACAACUUGGCCUCUGAUCAUGUUGAAUACCUGAUAUCUUCUCCUGAAAACUGAAUAGAUUUUUAAAUGUUUCAUGUAAUCUUUCAACCAUUUUACACUCAAUCCAUGCACAGAUCUUGGGUGUAUUAUAAAAAAGACAACUAGUUUAAAAUUAGCGUUUAUGUCCAGUGUGUCAUAAUCUUGACUUGAACAUCUUAAAAACACUCUCUUGUUUGAAUCAGAAAGUGUCACAUUCCAGGAUUAAACUCAAACUAAUAAUAAACGACAAUUACUACACCUUGGUUUUGGUUUUGUACAGAGUAAAUAUAACAUAUUCAACGGUAAUUUGUUCAAUUUGACAAAUGGUGCUUUUUUUCAUUCAUCUUUUUUUUUGUCUAUUUAUUUUUAAAAAACCCCUGUUAAAACAAACACAACAACACAAAAACAAGCCCAUACCAUGUGUAAAGAAGUUUGUCUCCUCAAUAUGGAUCUCAGAAUUAUUUUGACACAGUUGAAGGUAAGUAGUCUUUGUCCAGUUGAAGCAUAGAACAAUAGUUGUUCUAUUAACGAUGUCAGUAUUUGAAUGUCACAUUGCAUUUCCCUACAACAACAAUAAACCUCCUGCAUGACUUUUUAGUUUACAGAAUGCUGGAAAAUUCAAAAUUGCAAUUUUAUUUAUUUAUUGGAAGAAUAAUACAUGUACGGUAUUACUAAUGUAUCUAACUGCAAUUAAAAAAAAUAUUUUAAUGCAAAAGAAAUUCCAUUUAUUAAAUAUGGAUAUGAAGUGAAAUUAUGAUGAGAUAUGUUACAUUUGUGUAUGAAGCAAAAAUGAUGGUACAGAAAUUGUCACAGACCUUGGCUGUUUUGAUUGUUAAUUUUCAAUUAGGUUUCACUAUUAAAGUAUUUUCAUAUUCUGUGUCACAUUUUGUCAGAAUUUGAUUAAUUUGUUGUAAUUGAUGCCAUUGUGUGUGUCAGUGUUCCUGGUACAAACUAUGUACAAGUAGCUUUGUUAAACAUGAGGAAACUAAGUACAAGAAUUCUCAUUGGGAGAGAAAUGUUUUCGAACAGCCAAUCAGCUAUAGCCAUUAGGGAUACAAUCAUGAAAUGUAUGCACAUAUUUGAUGUUGAUUUUCAGUAUAGAAGUUUUACAAUUAUAAAAUCUGACAUUUCAAGACAGUGUGUAGUAUUCAGUUUGUUUGACAGCAGAUGACAUUGAUGAGAGUUAGAACUGACAAGUAGUACCGGUAAGAUAUAUAUUGUGAUAGAAUGGAGAAUGCUCUGACCAAUCAUAUAUAUUAUUGCUGUGGUUUUAACAUGUUCUUGUCAGAGUAAUACAAGUCUGUUUACUACCACGUCAAGGGAGUCAACUUCUUCCUUUAUGGUUUUCUAUUUUGUUUUGUUUGUGUUUGUUAGUGUUUUGUAUAUAUUUGUUUUUAUUUAUUUUUGUGUGUUUUUGUCUUGACAUGUACCAGUACAUCCAUCCAUCUCUCUGUCUCUCUCUCUCUCUCUCUCUCUCUCUCUCUCUCUCUCUCUCUCUCUCUCUCUCUCUCUCUCUCUCUCUCUCUCUCUCUCUCUCUCUCUGUGUGUGUUAUUUUCUGGUGAGGAUAAUGGCAACACUAACAAAUUUGUCAUCAAGUCUGCAUUUCUCACAAUCUAUAAGUCAUAGUUUCACCUGUACCUUUUUUCUUUCUUUUUUCUUCUUUUUUUAAACAACUAGAUUAAUAAUAAAAUAUACACUACAAAUUUAAAAAACCCAAUAUUUUUGUCUGUACACCAAGCCUAGAUGUUGGCUUGUUUAGCACUGGGAUUGUGUAUAUCCAUUGUUGAUCCCAGUGCACUCAUUUGGGAGUAUUUGUAUCCCACUGACACAUUCCGUAUUGUUGUACAAGUAGUCUGGCUGGUACACAUGUUAUUUAGACUGGUACCUUUGUUAAUAUAUAUUUUUUUAUUUAUCAUAUUUCAUCUAUACCAUUGUUUAUGAUAAAAGCAGUGUCUGUGAUUUUAUGUGCCAUUGUUUGUUUUUAACACAUUUAUAUUAUAUUCAUAAUUUUUGUUGACAUUUAGAAUAUUUUUUAUUUUACCCUGUUUUUUUAUUAUUAAAAAUCUCUUCAUGGUCUUUUCCAGGGACUAAGUUCUGAUGCUUGCCAAAGUUUUCUCUCAAAUAUGUAACAGAAUUUAUAUGUGAAUCAUGUUGGAACACCAUCAUGAUGUCAUUGUCAUGUUGAUUGCAGUUACUAGUUAUGUCAUUGUGUUGAUUGCUUUCACCAGUGAUGUCAUUGUGUUGAUUGCAGUCACCAGUGACAUCAUUGUCGUGUUGAUUGCAGUUACCAGUGACAUCAUUGUGUUGAUUGCUUUCACCAGUGAUGUCAUUGUGUUGAUUGCAGUCACCAGUGACGUCAUUGUUGUUGAUUGCAUUUACCAGUGAGGUAAUUGUUGUGUUGAUUGCAGUUACCAGUGAUCUUAUUGUUGUGUUAAUUGCAGUUAGCAGUGAGAUCAUUGUUAUGUUGAUUGCAAUUACCAACCAUGGUGCAUGUGAAUCAUGUUGAAACACAAACAUGACGUCAUUGUCAUGUUGAUUGCUGUUACCAGCCAUGUGUUGUUUUCCUGCACUUGUAGUUUCUGAUCUGUUAUUUUCAAUUAACUCGAAACCAAAGCCAGGAUUUUAAAAGAUAAGAGCGUGUGUCCAUAAUUGUUUUUUUUUCUUUUCCAGAAUUCUCUCUCUCUCUCUCUCUCUCUCUCUCUCUCUCUCUCUCUCUCUCUCUCUCUCUCUCUUUUACUGUUGUUUGACAAAGUGUAUCUAAUGAGAUUGGGGUUUUUUCUGAUAUUUUGAAAGUAUACAUAAACACCCUCAAACAUGAUUCAUCUUUGAACCAGCAGCACAGACCUAGAAAUAUUCUUGGAGUAUUGAUUUGGGGGAGGGGUAUUCAUAAUGUUUAGAGAUGAGGACCCCUUACUACCCAUCUAGAGAGUGGUUCGUUUUUAACACUGUGCACUGUUGUGUUCACAGUGUAGUACCUAUCAAUGCUUGGGUCUGUAAUGUUUUGUUUUAAUAUAUUUGUGAGUGUUGGAAGCCACUACUGUGAGGUUUGUUUGGGGAGAGGUUUACUCAGGUGUGAAAUAAAAUUACGUGAUACCA
RNAcentral lists this unclassified non-coding RNA (8732 nucleotides) under Gigantopelta aegis. RNAcentral describes it as "golgin subfamily A member 6-like protein 6, transcript variant X1". The record is from RNAcentral. Lineage: Eukaryota; Metazoa; Mollusca; Gastropoda; Neomphalida; Peltospiridae.